UUUUGUAUUUUUAGUAGAGACGGGGUUUCACUGUAUUGGCCAGGCUGGUCUCAAACUCCUGACCUCGUGAUCUGCCCGCCUCGGCCUCCCAAAGUGCUGAGAUUACUGGCAUGAGCCACCGCGCCCGGCCUUUUAAUUCAUAUUUUUUUGUAGCGAUGGAGCUUCACCGUGUUGCUCAGGCUAAUUUCAAACUCUUGGGCUCAUGCAAUCCUCCGGGGUCGGCCUCAGUCUCCUCCCAAAGCAUUGGGAUCGCAGGGGUGAGCCACUGUUCUCGGCCUCACCUCUUCUAACGUUAAGAGUUUGCAGUCAUAACUUUCUCUAAACACUGUAUUAGCUGCAUCCUAUACAUUUUCAUGUGCAUAUUUCCAUUUUUAUUCAGCUCAAAAUACGUACUAAUUUUUUGUGAUUUCUUAUUUAUUUUUAGUCUUAUGAGACGGAGGCUCGCUCUGUUGCCCAGGCUGGAGUGCAACGAGGCGAUCUCGGCUCACUGCAACCUCUGCCUCCCGGUUCAAGCGAUUCUCCUGCCUCAGCCUCCCGAGUAGCUGGGACUACAGGCAACCGCCACCACACCCAGCUAGUUUUUGUAUUUUUAGUAGAGACGGAGUUUCACUAUAUUGGCCAGGCUGGUCUUGAACCCCUGACCUCAAGUGAUCCCCCGCCCCCCCUCGACCUCCCAAAGGGCCGGGAUUAUAGACAUUAGACGUCGUUGCCGGGGAAGCCCUCCAAACACCCAGAAAUGCCACAGCCAGGACCGUGGGACGCAGCAGAAUCGUCCAAAGGGCAGGGGGGCAGCCUGGCCAGAAGAAAAUGAGGGAGGGGCCGCGCGUGAGGUUCGGCAGGGGAGAACACAGGCCUCCGGCGGCCACAGACGCCGCUUUGCCAUUUUGAGCGCUUCUGGGGAGGACAAUGCGCGCAGUCAUCUCAAGCUGACUUCCAAGGCUACUGGGUUCGAGGGCUGGAACCGGGUCUGAAAGCCCCGACCCGUCUAUGGCGCGGGGACUGUGGGUCCAGCCGGCCGCUUGGCCCCCUCGCUCGGCCCCGGUCCAGGCGCAGCGCUCGGGCCCCGGGGACGGUGAGAUGCGGCGUGGCCAGCUUAGCUCGGGGUAGAGGCCACCCCAGCCUCGCCCCAGCCGGCCAGGUCCGCGACCUCGGGAGGGUCCGGUCCUUCCCUCGGCCCCCGCGACGCCGCGCCCGGGUGAGGCCCUGGGCUUCUUGCCGGUGACCACGCGGCCAGGGUGGCCCCCAGCCCAGGACGGCUACCAAGGGCGGCCCAGCCCCAUCCCCGCGCCGCGGGUCCCGGAACCGAAGAGCUGGGAGCGGGGGCUCCCUGACAACAUGGCGGCGGCGCCCGGGCGCCUCCCCGGGUCCCGGGUGUCUGCGUCUCCCCGCGAGGGCGUGGGCAAAGCCGGUGCCCUCCGACGACAGGAGGCGAAAGGAACCCAGGACCAGACCCGCGGGGCGAACAGUGCUGGAGGACCAUGCACCGACCACGCCCGAAGCAGAACCAAGGCCCGCCCUGUUGCCGUGGCGACUGCGCGCGGGGUAGACGCAGGCGCCGCAAGCCGUGAGCUCUCAGUGCAGGCGCAUAGGCUGCGGGGUUGAGGCGCAUUGCGUGCGCGUGCGCGCUGCUCACACGCGGACGGUUCUGUGCGCCGCAAUGGCUGCCCGCGAGUGUCGGAGAGGCGGAGCUCUCAGCCUUUUACAGGACCGGGUCUCCUGAUGCCGCCGGUGGUUCCUCGAGGCCCCCUUCCACGCAUCCGCCGCCGCUGCUUCAUCAGGACUUCAUUUCGGUGACGCAGAGCUUUGGCGAGAGCUACGGCAACAGCAAGAACUGCCGGCGGCUCUUGUGCUGCAGGAGAUGAGAGAUCGUAGAAAUAAAGACACAAGACAAAGAGAUGGAAGAAAAGACAGCUGGGCCCAGGGGACCACUACCACCAAGGCAUGGAGACCGGUAGUGGCCCCGAAUGCCUGGCUGCACUGUUAUUUAUUCGAUACAAGGCAAGGAGGCAGAAGGCACAGCCAGGUGUACAGGGCGGAACACGAAAGUGGACCAGGAGCGUGACCGCUGAAGCACAGCAUCACAGGGAGACGUUUAGGCCUCCGGAUGGCUGCGGGCGGGCUUGACUGAUGUCAGGCCUUCCACAAGAGGUGGUGGAGCAGAGUCUUCUCUAACUCCCCCGGGGAAACUGAGACUCCCUUUCCCGGUCUGCUAAGUAACGGGCGUCUUCCCAGGCACUGGCGUUACCGCUAGACCAAGGAGCCCUCUAGUGGCCCUGUCUGGGCAUAACAGAAGGCUCACACUUGGCUUUGGUCACUUCUCACCAUGUCCCUUCAGCUCCUAUCUCUGUAUGGCCUGGUUUUUCCCAGGUUAUAAUUGUAGAACAGAGAUUAUUAUAAUAUUGGAAUAAAGAGCAAUGCUACAAACUAAUGAUUAAUACUCAUAUAUCAUCAUAUCUAUAUUCUAGUUCCAGUAUAACUAUUCUUAUUCUGUAUAUUUUCUUUAUUAUAUUGGAACAGCUCGUGCCCUUGGUCUCUUGCCUCGGCACCUGGGUGGCUUGCCGCCCACAGAGACCAGUCCAGCCAACAUGAUGAAACCCCGACUCUACGAAAAAUACAAAAAUUAGCCGGGUGUGGUGACAGGCGCCUGUAAUCCCAGCUAACUGGGAGGCUGAGGCAGGAGAAUCGCUUGAACCUGCGAGGCAGAGGUUGCAGGAGCCGAGAUGGCGCCACUGCACUCCAGCCUGGGUGACAGAGCGAGACUCCGUCUCAACAAAAACCCAAAAAACAACAAAAAAAGUUAAAACUGUAAAACUCUUAGGAAAAAAACGGGAUAAACCUUCACAACUUUUAAUUUGGCAACAGAUUCUUAGAAAUGACACUAAAAGCACAAGCAACAAGAGACCGACAAAGUGGAUGUCAUCAAAAUAAUUUCUGCACAUCGGCCGGGUGUGGUGGCUCACGCCUGUAAUCCCAGCACUUUGGGAGGCUGAGGCGGGUGGAUCGGGAGUUCAACACCAGCCUGGCCAAGAUGAUGAAACCCCAUCUCUACUAAAUAUCCAAAAAUUAGUCGGGCGUGGUGGCGGGCGCUGUAAUCCCAACUAAACUCUGGAGGCUGAGGCAGAGAACUGCUUGAACCCAGGAGGGGGAGGUUGCUGUGAGCCAAGAUCGCGCCAGUGCACUCCCGCCUGGGCAACAGAGUGAGACUCUUGUCUCAAAUAAUAAUUUUUGCACUUCAAAGACAGUAUCAACUGAAUAAAGAAGCAACCCACAGGAAGAUUUGAAAAUAACAUAUAUGACAAGGGAUUGAGAUCUAGAUUAUUUAUUUAUUAUUUACUUUUUUUUUUU
Molecule: long non-coding RNA, 3345 nt
Organism: Pan troglodytes (chimpanzee)
Lineage: Eukaryota; Metazoa; Chordata; Mammalia; Primates; Hominidae
Exons: 3
Source: RefSeq, a predicted model, not a curated record